UCAGGCCUAACACAUGCAAGUCGAGCGGUAGAGAUUCUUCGGAAUCUUGAGAGCGGCGUACGGGUGCGGAACACGUGUGCAACCUACCUUUAUCUGGGGGAUAGCCUUUCGAAAGGAAGAUUAAUACCCCAUAAUAUAUUGAUUGGCAUCAAUCGAUAUUGAAAACUCCGGUGGAUAGAGAUGGGCACGCGCAAGAUUAGCUAGUUGGUGAGGUAACGGCUCACCAAGGCAAUGAUCUUUAGGGGGCCUGAGAGGGUGAUCCCCCACACUGGUACUGAGACACGGACCAGACUCCUACGGGAGGCAGCAGUGAGGAGUAUUGGACAAUGGGUGCAAGCCUGAUCCAGCCAUCCCGCGUGAAGGACGACUGCCCUAUGGGUUGUAAACUUCUUUUGUACAGGGAUAAACCUACCCUCGUGAGGGUAGCUGAA
RNAcentral lists this ribosomal RNA (431 nucleotides) under uncultured bacterium. Its description in RNAcentral is "bacterial SSU rRNA". It matches the Rfam family "Bacterial small subunit ribosomal RNA", at positions 42 to 473 of the family's 1533-position model. The record is from RNAcentral.